RNAcentral lists this non-coding RNA (30 nucleotides) under Rattus norvegicus (Norway rat). Lineage: Eukaryota; Metazoa; Chordata; Mammalia; Rodentia; Muridae. The record is from RNAcentral.
UNGGUUGUCUGGUAGACAGGAGAGCCUAGC